Molecule: ribosomal RNA, 208 nt
Filed under: uncultured bacterium
Lineage: Bacteria
Description: partial 16S ribosomal RNA
Rfam family: Bacterial small subunit ribosomal RNA
Source: RNAcentral
CACGUAGGCGGCGCUCUAAGUCAGGUGUGAAAUCCCCCGGCUCAACCGGGGAACUGCACCUGAUACUGGAGCGCUCGAGGACGGUAGGGGUGAGUGGAACUCCAGGUGGAGCGGUGAAAUGCGUAGAUAUCUGGAGGAACACCGGUGGCGAAAGCGGCUCACUGGACCGUCUCUGACGCUGAGGUGCGAAAGCUAGGGUAGCAAAACG